GAUGAACGCUGGCGGCGUGCCUAAUACAUGCAAGUCGAGCGAACAGACGAGGAGCUUGCUCCUCUGACGUUAGCGGCGGACGGGUGAGUAACACGUGGAUAACCUACCUAUAAGACUGGGAUAACUUCGGGAAACCGGAGCUAAUACCGGAUAAUAUAUUGAACCGCAUGGUUCAAUAGUGAAAGACGGUUUUGCUGUCACUUAUAGAUGGAUCCGCGCCGCAUUAGCUAGUUGGUAAGGUAACGGCUUACCAAGGCAACGAUGCGUAGCCGACCUGAGAGGGGGAACGGCCCAAACGGAAAUGGAAAAAGGGUCAGGACCCCAAGGGGGGCAGGAGGAGGGAAUCUUCCGAAAAGGGGGAAAACCUGAAGGGGCAACCGCCGGGGGGGGAAGAAGGGUUUCGGAUUGUAAAACUUUUUUAUUAGGGAAAAAAAAAUGGGAAAGUAAAUAAGCACGGCUUGACGGGACCUAAACAGAAAGCCACGGCUAAAUAAGU
RNAcentral lists this ribosomal RNA (496 nucleotides) under uncultured bacterium. RNAcentral's name for it is "partial 16S ribosomal RNA". It matches the Rfam family "Bacterial small subunit ribosomal RNA", at positions 28 to 506 of the family's 1533-position model. The record is from RNAcentral.